UUCAGAGUAGAUUCAAGCACAGACACCCCACACCUCGCUCAACGGCAAAAGAAGCCCCCCACUCCGGGCAAGCACCGCGGGCAAAUACCAAACUCAUUCCCAAAGGAUGGAAGCCGGGGUGAGGAGGGAUGGGCACGGCGGAGCCUAUCCUGGCCGUCCCGCGUGGGGAUGCGCGGCGCCCCACGCCGCGGUUAUGGCGCAUCCCCACCCACGCACUUUAGGAGGUGGGUCGUGCCGAAAGAGUACGGCGUCUCUCCACACGCACAUUUCUUCUUAUUUUUUUCUUUUUUUUUUUUUUUUUCCUUUGCAAUUAGGCUUAUAACGAGCUUAUUGCAGUAUGUGCUUCUGGGCCAAUAAUACUUGUUUUUAACCUAAUUAAAGCCGACCUUUUAAAAUAUCUGAAAUAUAAACACGCCUUUUUUUUUUUUUUUUUUUUUUCUCUCUCUCUCCCCCCUCCUUUCUUUCUCUGGUUUAACAAUUUAACGUUUGACUCUCUGGGCUGGAACAUGCAACCUUUCACCAGAGCACGGAGAGAGAGAGGGAGGGGGAAAGUGGCAAAAAGCUGCGAAUGAGGCAGAGGGACUGGCUUUGCCCGAGCAUCCGCGACACGCUUCCAGCAACAACAAUCUCAUACUUUAACGCCUUUGCAGACAGAGCAACCUCAGCCCGGUGGUGCUCGGCCGCCCUUUUGUUCCCGGCGGAGAGACCCGGUGUGGCUCGGCUCGGCCCGCCGGGGCUGCGGGGAGCCCGGUCCUCCCCUCCCUCCUCUCGCGGAGCGGGGACGUGAUAAAAGGAGACAGGGCUCUGAAAGGAUUUGAUUGAAAUGGCGUGUGCCAAGCUGAUGGGAGCCAGCGAGGGACAAAGCGCCGAGGAGCCAUGGACACUCGAGCAAUUAUUCCUCCACGCUGAAGGUGGAUUAGUGCAAUGGAAAGAAGCAUAUGUUCGGCCUGGGGCGACACUCCCCCUGGCUGGGUUUAGAGAAUGAGAGCGGAGAAAGAGGCUGAACCUGGAAUAUCAACUAUCCGGGAGACAGCCCACCCCACCCCCUCUUAUCCCAGCCUCUCCAAAAGUCUCAGAAAUAGAGACAGAAAUAUACACGCCCAUAAAGAUAAAUAUAUAGAUACGAACAAACAGGCAAACACCCAGAAAUACAGCUGAACACACACCUCUAGGUACAGCCGCAUGUGCACACGGUGCUGGCACACCGGCUCUGCACUGAUAGGCAGGAGCAAGAGGCGCCCUAGGUGAAAAACCUCCCCGGGUACGACAAUGUGAACAAAUAAACAGUCGGCCUCCAAGAAGGUCAUAGCAGCAGCCAGUUCUGCUGGAGGCUCCAGUUUCCCCAGACCUUUCCCAGGAAACUUUCCAAAAGCAGCUGCAGCAAGGAAUGGGUGAUCUUCAUACCUCCUACCAGGGCCUUGUCCAGGCCCUCCUGGAAACACAAAGCAAAAUCUAAAUUGCCCCUUUUCCAUCUGACUUUCUUAUGAGCCACAGCCACCUCCUGUUUUCCUUCCCUUUCCCUAGGUCCCUGCAAAACCCCAUCCUUACGAGCAGGAUAGCUGCAAGCUCUCCCAAGGGCAUGAGGAUGGGAAGAAGACCCAGCAGCCAGCCUGUCAGCCUCCAUCCCAAUCAUCAGCAUGCCAGGAUGCUCAUCAAGGCUCCAUGGCAAUGGGACACCCAUCAACUGCGGUCUUGGAUCAUCUACACCCAUACACAGGCUCCAAAACUCAGGCAGGCACGGCAGGAGCACAUUUUUAGCACUAAUAAAGUGCAGCUCGUUAGGACUCAUGAGAAAAAAGAGCACUGAGGCCAGGCAAAGCUCCUGCUUUCCUCCCAGCACUGCCCCACUGGCCCUCCCGGGCCUGGGCACACCAGCAUGUGCUGCAGUGUUGGGCAUCUCCCCAGCUGUUGUCCAAGCCGUCCCAGGCUUCGCAGGGCAGAGAGAUAAACUCCACCACAGGAGAGGAGGAGACAGGACAAGCACAGGCAACAGCAUCCAGCAGCAUGGCAGAGGGCAAGGAGGACAAGCUGGAGGGAAGGAUGCCUGCCAGUAAACUUUAAUGGGAAGGAGAGAGAAAGAGGGAAGAAAAGGGAAUUGCAACUCUUCCCUUCUCCUGGGAGCCCCAAAUAUUUCACAUCGCUACUUCUUUACCCUUAGCUUUGGGGAUCAGAAUGGAUCAUACACAGAGAGGAGGGGGCCAGCUCUGGCCAAAGCAAUGCUGAAGCAGGAAGUUCUGCAGGAGGAACAAGCAGGUAGAAACAUAACCAAAAACACUGGAGAGGAGCAAAAUACAUCCCUCAACCUGCGAGUGUAAUUGCACAGCUCACACUCCCACAAGGAAGCAACUCUCCAUUCAGAACUCUUGUAUCUGCUUUUAGUUGAGCAUUACAAAGAGAAUUAACCAUACCACAGGCUACGACAGCAGUGGGGCUUGAGAGCAUCUCUGGACAGAAAAGGUUUUCAUGCAGGUGAAGUAGAUCUCCUAUAGAAAAUAGGAUAUGUGUGCAUGUGCACACAACAUGCUCAAGGAACAACAUGGUGAAAUGGCUUGCACUUCACACCUGACAGUCCUCCACCUUCCUGCUGAACACAAGACAAUUUUUUCCUCACCUAGGCUAUGCUUCCCCAGUUUACCCUCCUUGCCCUGGUUUGAAGAUCCGCUCUGCAAAUGAGCUCUGUGACUACAAAACAAGACAACAACUAUGGAGCUUGGAGUAACCUCAGGGCCCUGGUUUUGAGAGGGAGGGACUCAUGGGGAAACCACAGGCUCUGGGUGCCAGGAUGUGCCUUGCAAAAUCAGAGCCUGAAAGAAAAGUGCCACAGGGAACCAGCAGGUCCCUCCUACACUACCAGAAAGCUCUCAAUAGUCUUACCCUGAUUUCCACACUACAUUCACUCAGUGAAGAUGCUCUAACUGCUCAGUUGGUAUGAUAAAAAUUUUGGGCCACCAAAGUUAAACUCAGCAUCAGAGAGACAUGACUGCAGUUAUUGUAAGAGGGAAUAAAAUACCACAGAUUUGUCACCUUCAUAUCUACAGCACCAGAAAGGAGUAACAGUUCAAGGAUACAAAUAUUUACUGCCACCAUCAGCUAUAUAUCUGUUUACCCUUCCUGAAAUAUCAGCUGUUUCAUUCAUCCAAGAAAGCUUAGAAACUUUAACUAGAAGAAGAAAAACAAGGCUGUUUUGCUAUUCUGAAGCCAGUAAGACUUUGCUAAUGAUGGGUAAUAAAAUACUUUCACUUUUCCUCUGUUUCUAACAGCUUGCUUUAAACUACUUUUUGGGAGUUUGGAGUUACUAAACUAAAUACUGCAAAUGGAGAGGGUGCAGCCUAUGCAGAAUAAAUGAUUUAGGAACUGGGCUUGGCUGAUUUAUUUUUUCCUCUGUACUGGAGAUAAAAAGAAGGAACACAUUCUAGUAAACCCUACUCAUUUUCACAGCCAUUCUUGCACCUGUAACUCAAAUAAUGAAGCCAUUUGUUAUUUAUAUUGCACUUUCCCCUCCAUUCUAGAUUUCUAACGAUCUGACCCUGCUUUAUGGCCCUGACAAAGCCUGAAACCAGUGUGGACUUCCAAUAAUUGAACGAUAUAAGGAAAAAUCUUUAACUAGAAUGAAGCAGAUGUUAGCUUCAUGCAGUUCCCUAACUUGAUUAUUCUUUGGCCACGUUAGACAAGCAUUAGUGAUUGAUAAUGAUGCUAAUUAACCCCUUUCCUUUCCAAAACAGUAAACCAACGCCAGCAGGAUUCUGCAAACAACACACACACAAAGUGUGUACCAGUAUCUGUUCAAAGUGGAUCAGGGACACAACUUCAUUGCCUGGUGCUUGACUAAAAUCUUAUCCUGCUGACACCAAGCUGGCUCCAAAUUCUCUCUAGGAGUUAAGUUCCAGCUUCUUGCAGGGCAGGGAGAAGAGACAUAGCUCUUUCAUGCAGAAAAGGUGCAUGGGACAAAAUCAAAGGUACCAUGUAUUUUUUUUAUGCUCCCAACCUUUCACGUUUGAUUAUGGAGCCAGUUUAAGUCACUGUGCCCUCACUAGCUGGAAUGGACUUCACACUGAUCCCUGUCAGAAGGGCACGAGUUAUUUUAGCUACACUUUCCUAACAUGAGAGCUGAGGCUCUGGGAAUCUGGUCUGGGCUGAGAUAUUCAUGUACCAAGGAGGGAAAGGGAAGCACACAUUGUGGAAUUCAAAUGGGAGGUACAAGACGAGUAAACAAACAAGGAACUGAUCUGAUUAUGCAGUCGAAUUUAUCAUGGACAGUAAAGAAAUUGCUUUUAAAUGUAAGGGUUUGGAUAAAUGAAUACUCCUAGCCAGUGAAUAAAAUGUAUUCAAUUAACUAAAAACCUUGUGCACUUCUGAACUGAAGUGGAAUCGACUGUAAUUGAUUUAUUUGAAACCAGAGGUUAAGGACUGAAUUAGCUAAGUACAACUGGGUAUUUCAAGCCACUGACUUCUCAAAUGUCAAAUCUCUUCUAUUUUAAAUAUUAUUUCAGCUGCGGGGCAUUGCUGUCCUGAUGGCUGUUCCACCAGUUAAAUCUCAAAUUAUAUUAAUAUUUGAUUUUUGGAGGGUGGGGUAAAAUACGGUACAAAGAGGAGGGCUGUCCUUGUUCACGGUGAAAGAGCACCAAGCUGUAUUUUGGUUCACAUGUAGGAAUUAGCUCAGCGUGGCAGCAAUGCUCUAACAUUCAGCCACCACUCACCCCCGCUCCAACCGAUCUGGGGCGGGGGGGAAAGUAACAACAGAUUUUUGUUUAGUGUAUAAAAGCAUGACCCAGAAUUUCACUGCUGCACCUCAAUCCCAACGUUAAAAAUGCAUCCAAAGAACGCUGAAGUAAUUAGCACGUUUUAGUAACUGCACACUGGUCACAGCAGAAGAGGCUGAACCGAACCUAGUCUGAUUUCCAUUAUCGCCUGUAAAAUCCUUCCUUAGAAAUAAUAGUAAUAAAGAAAUCUAUGCAAGGUCAUUUCAUUUCUGGUUUUUGGUGGCUUGCUAAUCCACAGCAGAAUACCUAAUAUGCGCUCUCCUACCAUGAAGUAGCUAAUUAUAUGUUUAAAACAUUAUUUAUUAUGACCUUAUAAUGUUCUAGCAUAAGAUUGCUUUAUACAUUGACCAGUAUAAAACGAUUAUAUUGGGUACAGGUUUCAAAAAGUAACAAGCAUCUGUAAAUCCAGAUAUGAAUGAAUGGUAUUUAAUAAGAUUGUUUUCGUUUAAAAAUGAGUAUUUAUGUGUUGCUGUAGAAAGAGCAGCAAUGUAUUGCUGUUUAUGAAUGCUAUUGUGCCUGAGGUUAGGAUCCCACACACAAUCUGAGAUGCAGCCAAGAAAAACAGCCCUGAUAGACAAUGCUUCACUUCACCUGCUAUAGUACUGUGCAUUUCAUUUAUGUCAAGAAUAUGUACAGUUAGGGUUCAUUCACCUCAUUAUUUUGUUACAUCUACUUUACGGUUAACCAGUCUCUCUUGGAAAUAAUAAAUAACUGUUUUUAAAACAAUUGCAGCUUUGCAUUCAAAAGAUCCACUUUCAAUUUAUAGAAAAAAAAAUAUUCACCAUUUUUAUAAACUAGCUGGCUCACGAAAAUAGAAUUUAGACUCCACCAACUCUCUUUCUGCUUGGCAAGAUUGAUUUUACACUGCCUUCCAUAAGUAGAUUACCAAAGCAAAAUGAAACAUCUUGGGCUUUAUCUAAUGCUUUGCUUCACCAGCUCUACCAAACGUCAAAAUAUAUGAGUAAAUGUUAAUUCUCUGUGCAGCUUUAUUGUAAACACCUCCCUCCUAACCUCCUCAAUUUCUGCCUGAGCAAAAAGGGGAAAAAAGGGAGGGGGAGAGAGAGAGAGAGAGAGAGGGAGGCAGGAAGGGAAGGAAAGAGAAAAAUCAGGCUCCACUACUAGAAUACCAUCAACACUUAAAGGAGACCCUCUUUUUAAAAUGCCUUUACAUUCUAAACUCCAUUAAGUCUCCCUUCCUAUGAUAUAACAUAAUCCAGCCUGAUCCUGACUUCACCUACCCCCUGGGCCAAAGAAGAUAGAUUCAAAAUCUGAAUUCUCACAUGUUUUUAUAGACCAUCUUCAAGACAUACACUCCAUUUUUUUAAAGCAAACUUCCCUGUUUCACAACUGGUUUCUACAAGAAGAAACUCAAGAUAAAAAUUUCAGUCCCUUACAAACUGACACAGCCAUCUCAAAAUGUCAGUCUGUGCGUUCCACUAAAACACGAACCAUCAAUCAGAAAUAAUCUGUCUCCUGCAAGAUUUCACUAAAGUUCACAACCGUGAGAUGAUUUUGUUGGCAUCAACUGCGGAGCUUUUUUUUUUUCUUGAGGGGGAGGGAGCACCCAGCUCUGAUUUACCAGUAUAAAUUAUUUUUUUUCAUAGCAAUAAUUUUCAGUAUUUUCUCAGUAAUAAUUCUUUUAAAAGUGUCCUUCUUGAGAUGUGUUUUUUAAUCUCUGCUCUCUAUUAGGACAACUACAUGUACAAAAUUUUAUAGGCUUAUAAUUCUGUAUGCUGUAUAAAAACAUAAAUAAAAACCUAGAGGUCAACAUAAAUAAAAUAAAACUUUUAUUUUUUAAAUAAAAUUAUGUUUCGGUUAAAGAAAAGAUAGUGUGUCAUUUUUGUUAGUAGUACAGACAAUUUUUUAUCCAAAAGAAUACAUUGUGCUUUAUUGUGUCAUUUGUCUGAAUACAGACUCAGUGGAAUAUCUAAAUGAUACCCUGCUCUGAACUCCAAGUUGAAAGUAAGUUUUUAUUAUACUUGAGGGAAACAAUGGGUUCAGCUGCUUAUUGCAAGGAGCAAUUGUCAAGGGAGAGUUAAACUCAAUUACUGUAACCAUACUGAAUAAAAAAUACUGCCAAGAACAAAAAUACGCCUGGGUAAAGACAGCUACUGAAUAAAAAAAUCGACAUAAAGCGUAUCAAAUAUUUAUUUAUCUGGGCAACAAAGGACUAUGAUACAUUGAUAGGCAUGGAAACUACUGCCGGCACAACUCAAUACAACACAACUAUAACUGCUUCCAAUAUGGCCAGUGGAAAUACAGGAUACCAGGUGGUCCCGAAUGUUUGAAGUUCUUUGGGAAAAAAAAAAAAAAAGAAAAAAGAUAAAAAUAAAAAUAAAAACAAAAGAAAGGGAGAAAAAAAAAGGGGGGGAAAAAAGGAAAGUAAAGCUAAAUCUUGUUUUAAAAGACAGUAUUAAUUUAUUGCUCUGUUGGUGCUUUCAGGAGAAGGACAGUGGAUGAAAAUAACUUUUUUCAUUUUCCACAACACAUAAGGGUUGUAAAACCACUAACAUGUUUAAAAACCUUGCCAGGGUCCAACAUCACUUUAUUUUAUCUUCAAUGAGAAACUAAAUGUCAUACUAAUUAUAUAUAAAAAUUAAUGGUUUUUUAUUUGUUCAGCUGCUUCAUUGUCGCUUUUAACAUGCUACAAUAGGGCUAAAAAUGAUGAAUCCCAGAGAAAAACCCCCAAAAAACCUCUGAUAUCUAAAUAAGUACCAUGAACCACAUGAUGAACUAAGAGGGGAAGAUUUAAAACCCACUAAACAAGAGGUAAACGAGAUCACCAGAUAAAUAAAAAAAGGCUUAAAACAGACUCACCAUAUUUACAAUUCCCAUUAAAUUACACAUAAAUAAAUAUAUACAUACAUGAACACUGAUUCCCUUAUAUAAUAACCGUGAAUCGUGUUGCAAUAGAAAGUUCAAGUUGGUCGCUUUACCUUGGACAGGAAAAAGUUCUACAACUGAAGAUAUGACAUGGAACCGCUUGUGUUUUGUGUUCAAGUUUAUUCACAAUACUGAUAAAAUGUCAUCAGUCCUCUUUGCCUUUUGUCUGUCUGCUGUUGCUGUUGUACUUUUUCACUUUUUUUUUUCAUUUUUAGUAUGGCUACAAUCUUAACUGAAGUUUACGUAAGGGAAGGUGGUGAUUCAGUCCGGUGAAGCUCAUAGAAUUUUUAAGUAUCAUUUAUUUCUUUUUGAUUUUUUUUUAAUUUUUU
Long non-coding RNA from Serinus canaria (Common canary), 7972 nucleotides. RefSeq lists it as uncharacterized. The transcript has 2 exons. The record is from RefSeq and is a predicted model, not a curated record. NCBI's taxonomy places the organism in Eukaryota, Metazoa, Chordata, Aves, Passeriformes, Fringillidae.